Pieris brassicae (large cabbage white) is the source of this 357-nucleotide long non-coding RNA. RefSeq lists it as uncharacterized. The record is from RefSeq and is a predicted model, not a curated record. The transcript is spliced from 3 exons. NCBI's taxonomy places the organism in Eukaryota, Metazoa, Arthropoda, Insecta, Lepidoptera, Pieridae.
GGCAACACAAUAUAACCAGUUUCCACCUCAUUUGUGUUCUCGGCUUGUCCAUUCGCACAACGAUAAAGUUAUCUAAAAUAAAUUAAUUUUAAUAAGUGCUACAAAACUCGUGUCAAAAUGUUGAAGAAACUGUUAAUAAUUAUGUUAUCUUUAUUAUUUGUAUUAAACACAGUUAAUGCCAGUCCAAUGCCACGAAACGACGAUCCAAACUUCGAUUUUCAGAUAGAUGAAAAUGGCAUCCCGAAGGGCUGGUUCUUUGGAAAAUGCGACGGCUGUAAAAUUCAUAACAUCGGAAACGGUGAAGGGAACACAAACACAGUCUAUAUAAAAGAUAAAUAAAUGUUUUUUAUUAAUAUA